CAGCAGCCGCGGUAAUACGUAGGUGGCGAGCGUUGUCCGGUAUCAUUGGGCGUAAAGGGAGCGCAGGCGGGCAUGUAAGUCUUUCUUAAAAGUGCGGGGCUCAACCCCGUGAUGGGAAAGAAACUACAUGUCUUGAGUACAGGAGAGGAAAGCGGAAUUCCCAGUGUAGCGGUGAAAUGCGUAGAUAUUGGGAGGAACACCAGUGGCGAAGGCGGCUUUCUGGACUGCAACUGACGCUGAGGCUCGAAAGCCAGGGGAGCGAACGGGAUUAGAUACCCCAGUAGUCCCUGUCUCUUAUACA
This 301-nucleotide ribosomal RNA is filed under the name uncultured bacterium. RNAcentral describes it as "partial 16S ribosomal RNA". It matches the Rfam family "Bacterial small subunit ribosomal RNA", at positions 509 to 809 of the family's 1533-position model. The record is from RNAcentral.